Molecule: ribosomal RNA, 245 nt
Filed under: uncultured bacterium
Lineage: Bacteria
Description: partial 16S ribosomal RNA
Rfam family: Bacterial small subunit ribosomal RNA
Source: RNAcentral
CGGGUGAGUAACACGUGGUUAACCUGCCGAGAUGUGGGGGAUACCCCGGGGAAACCCGGGCUAAUACCGCAUGAUGUCUUCCGGGCGUCGGCCUGGAAGAGCAAAGCCGGGGACCGUAAGGCCUGGCGCAUUUCGAGGGGACCGCGGCCGAUUAGCUAGUUGGCGGGGUAAUGGCCCACCAAGGCAACGACGGGUAGCUGGUCUGAGAGGAUGAUCAGCCACACUGGAACUGAGACACGGUCCAG